This 263-nucleotide ribosomal RNA is filed under the name Escherichia coli. Its description in RNAcentral is "partial 16S ribosomal RNA". It matches the Rfam family "Bacterial small subunit ribosomal RNA", at positions 1 to 260 of the family's 1533-position model. The record is from RNAcentral. Lineage: Bacteria; Pseudomonadati; Pseudomonadota; Gammaproteobacteria; Enterobacterales; Enterobacteriaceae.
AAAUUGAAGAGUUUGAUCAUGGCUCAGAUUGAACGCUGGCGGCAGGCCUAACACAUGCAAGUCGAACGGUAACAGGAAGCAGCUUGCUGCUUUGCUGACGAGUGGCGGACGGGUGAGUAAUGUCUGGGAAACUGCCUGAUGGAGGGGGAUAACUACUGGAAACGGUAGCUAAUACCGCAUAACGUCGCAAGACCAAAGAGGGGGACCUUCGGGCCUCUUGCCAUCGGAUGUGUCCAGAUGGGAUUAGCUAGUAGGUGGGGUAA